UGGAAAGGCGCGCGAUACAGGGUGACAGCCCCGUACACAAAAAUGCACAUAUUGUGAGCUCGAUGAGUAGGGCGGGACACGUGGUAUCCUGUCUGAAUAUGGGGGGACCAUCCUCCAAGGCUAAAUACUCCUGACUGACCGAUAGUGAACCAGUACCGUGAGGGAAAGGCGAAAAGAACCCCGGCGAGGGGAGUGAAAAAGAACCUGAAACCGUGUACGUACAAGCAGUGGGAGCACGCUUAGGCGUGUGACUGCGUACCUUUUGUAUAAUGGGUCAGCGACUUAUAUUCUGUAGCAAGGUUAACCGAAUAGGGGAGCCGAAGGGAAACCGAGUCUUAACUGGGCGUUAAGUUGCAGGGUAUAGACCCGAAACCCGGUGAUCUAGCCAUGGGCAGGUUGAAGGUUGGGUAACACUAACUGGAGGACCGAACCGACUAAUGUUGAAAAAUUAGCGGAUGACUUGUGGCUGGGGGUGAAAGGCCAAUCAAACCGGGAGAUAGCUGGUUCUCCCCGAAAGCUAUUUAGGUAGCGCCUCGUGAAUUCAUCUCCGGGGGUAGAGCACUGUUUCGGCAAGGGGGUCAUCCCGACUUACCAACCCGAUGCAAACUGCGAAUACCGGAGAAUGUUAUCACGGGAGACACACGGCGGGUGCUAACGUCCGUCGUGAAGAGGGAAACAACCCAGACCGCCAGCUAAGGUCCCAAAGUCAUGGUUAAGUGGGAAACGAUGUGGGAAGGCCCAGACAGCCAGGAUGUUGGCUUAGAAGCAGCCAUCAUUUAAAGAAAGCGUAAUAGCUCACUGGUCGAGUCGGCCUGCGCGGAAGAUGUAACGGGGCUAAACCAUGCACCGAAGCUGCGGCAGCGACGCUGAUGCGUUGUUGGGUAGGGGAGCGUUCUGUAAGCCUGCGAAGGUGUGCUGUGAGGCAUGCUGGAGGUAUCAGAAGUGCGAAUGCUGACAUAAGUAACGAUAAAGCGGGUGAAAAGCCCGCUCGCCGGAAGACCAAGGGUUCCUGUCCAACGUUAAUCGGGGCAGGGUGAGUCGACCCCUAAGGCGAGGCCGAAAGGCGUAGUCGAUGGGAAACAGGUUAAUAUUCCUGUACUUGGUGUUACUGCGAAGGGGGGACGGAGAAGGCUAUGUUGGCCGGGCGACGGUUGUCCCGGUUUAAGCGUGUAGGCUGGUUUUCCAGGCAAAUCCGGAAAAUCAAGGCUGAGGCGUGAUGACGAGGCACUACGGUGCUGAAGCAACAAAUGCCCUGCUUCCAGGAAAAGCCUCUAAGCAUCAGGUAACAUCAAAUCGUACCCCAAACCGACACAGGUGGUCAGGUAGAGAAUACCAAGGCGCUUGAGAGAACUCGGGUGAAGGAACUAGGCAAAAUGGUGCCGUAACUUCGGGAGAAGGCACGCUGAUAUGUAGGUGAGGUCCCUCGCGGAUGGAGCUGAAAUCAGUCGAAGAUACCAGCUGGCUGCAACUGUUUAUUAAAAACACAGCACUGUGCAAACACGAAAGUGGACGUAUACGGUGUGACGCCUGCCCGGUGCCGGAAGGUUAAUUGAUGGGGUUAGCGCAAGCGAAGCUCUUGAUCGAAGCCCCGGUAAACGGCGGCCGUAACUAUAACGGUCCUAAGGUAGCGAAAUUCCUUGUCGGGUAAGUUCCGACCUGCACGAAUGGCGUAAUGAUGGCCAGGCUGUCUCCACCCGAGACUCAGUGAAAUUGAACUCGCUGUGAAGAUGCAGUGUACCCGCGGCAAGACGGAAAGACCCCGUGAACCUUUACUAUAGCUUGACACUGAACAUUGAGCCUUGAUGUGUAGGAUAGGUGGGAGGCUUAGAAGUGUGGACGCCAGUCUGCAUGGAGCCGACCUUGAAAUACCACCCUUUAAUGUUUGAUGUUCUAACGUUGACCCGUAAUCCGGGUUGCGGACAGUGUCUGGUGGGUAGUUUGACUGGGGCGGUCUCCUCCUAAAGAGUAACGGAGGAGCACGAAGGUUGGCUAAUCCUGGUCGGACAUCAGGAGGUUAGUGCAAUGGCAUAAGCCAGCUUGACUGCGAGCGUGACGGCGCGAGCAGGUGCGAAAGCAGGUCAUAGUGAUCCGGUGGUUCUGAAUGGAAGGGCCAUCGCUCAACGGAUAAAAGGUACUCCGGGGAUAACAGGCUGAUACCGCCCAAGAGUUCAUAUCGACGGCGGUGUUUGGCACCUCGAUGUCGGCUCAUCACAUCCUGGGGCUGAAGUAGGUCCCAAGGGUAUGGCUGUUCGCCAUUUAAAGUGGUACGCGAGCUGGGUUUAGAACGUCGUGAGACAGUUCGGUCCCUAUCUGCCGUGGGCGCUGGAGAACUGAGGGGGGCUGCUCCUAGUACGAGAGGACCGGAGUGGACGCAUCACUGGUGUUCGGGUUGUCAUGCCAAUGGCACUGCCCGGUAGCUAAAUGCGGAAGAGAUAAGUGCUGAAAGCAUCUAAGCACGAAACUUGCCCCGAGAUGAGUUCUCCCUGAC
RNAcentral lists this ribosomal RNA (2488 nucleotides) under Escherichia coli. RNAcentral describes it as "bacterial LSU rRNA". It matches the Rfam family "Bacterial large subunit ribosomal RNA", at positions 343 to 2819 of the family's 2925-position model. Lineage: Bacteria; Pseudomonadati; Pseudomonadota; Gammaproteobacteria; Enterobacterales; Enterobacteriaceae. The record is from RNAcentral.